RNAcentral lists this ribosomal RNA (465 nucleotides) under uncultured bacterium. Its description in RNAcentral is "bacterial SSU rRNA". It matches the Rfam family "Bacterial small subunit ribosomal RNA", at positions 94 to 575 of the family's 1533-position model. The record is from RNAcentral.
AGUGGCGAACGGGUGAGUAACGCGUGAGGAACCUGCCUCAAAGAGGGGGACAACAGUUGGAAACGACUGCUAAUACUGCAUAAGCCCACGGGUCGGCAUCGACCAGAGGGAAAAGGAGCAAUCCGCUUUGAGAUGGCCUCGCGUCCGAUUAGCUAGUUGGUGAGGUAACGGCCCACCAAGGCAACGAUCGGUAGCCGGACUGAGAGGUUGAACGGCCACAUUGGGACUGAGACACGGCCCAGACUCCUACGGGAGGCAGCAGUGGGGAAUAUUGCACAAUGGGGGAAACCCUGAUGCAGCGACGCCGCGUGGAGGAAGAAGGUCUUCGGAUUGUAAACUCCUGUUGUUGGGGAAGAUAAUGACGGUACCCAACAAGGAAGUGACGGCUAACUACGUGCCAGCAGCCGCGGUAAAACGUAGGUCACAAGCGUUGUCCGGAAUUACUGGGUGUAAAGGGAGCGCAGG